UGCACUGUUGCGUAUAUCAAUGAUCCGGGUUGAUGGAAGGGAGGGAGCAAAGGUAACUUGCGGUUUUUUUUUUGUCGUCCAACAAUUAAUUACGCACGUGCAGCUACGAUCGAGACGUUAAACAUAAUAAUAUAAUAAUAUAUAUUUAUUAAUAUCGUAAUCGUCUUCAUCGCCGCGGAGUACCUAUAGUAUCCGCAAAAAUACGAGGUCGUAACAAUAUGAUCGCGUAUUGCCUCACAUUGCUUCGGGUAUAUCUAUGUAUGUAACACGCGUCUACUGCGGCCUAUUGGAAUGAACACGACGGAAGCGCUGUAACGGUGGUUGAGUUGUUGCAAUAAUUUACUUUUGUUGUGCAGUGAAUUUCAAUUUAUAACCAGAUGUUUUAAUGGAAAACCCCUAUUUAUAGUAAAUAUAUUUUUUUUGUUUAAUAAAAACACGAUUAUUUAUAUUUUUUUGUAAAUAAAUUAGAAUUAAAGCUCUCUGAAAUUUCCGAGAACAUUUUUAGGAAGGUUAUUAUUCCUGUCCACAAAAAUUAAAGAAAAAGCAAUGGACGGGAAUUCUCAGAAAUUUAUAAAAUUGAUAAUAUGUUUUGAUUUUUAUAUUUUAAUACUAUACCAGUUUACAUCGCUUAAUUUAUGUAUUUUAACGUAAUUAUU
Rhopalosiphum padi (bird cherry-oat aphid) is the source of this 656-nucleotide long non-coding RNA. RefSeq lists it as uncharacterized. NCBI's taxonomy places the organism in Eukaryota, Metazoa, Arthropoda, Insecta, Hemiptera, Aphididae. The record is from RefSeq and is a predicted model, not a curated record. The transcript has 3 exons.